UCAGACAUGGUGUAGUGUGAGCACAGCCUCUUCUCCUUACUUUGGACUGGAGAAUUAGGAGGUAGUCCAGGGUUCGACUCCCUAUGUUUGAA
This is a non-coding RNA of Mycena vulgaris, 92 nucleotides long. The record is from the annotation of a GenBank genome assembly. Lineage: Eukaryota; Fungi; Basidiomycota; Agaricomycetes; Agaricales; Mycenaceae.